This 2189-nucleotide long non-coding RNA is filed under the name Citrus x clementina. RNAcentral describes it as "Citrus clementina (C. clementina) long non-coding RNA (CCLE_LNC000163)". The record is from RNAcentral. Lineage: Eukaryota; Viridiplantae; Streptophyta; Magnoliopsida; Sapindales; Rutaceae.
GGGCAAUGACUUAUUUAUUUCAUAAAAUAAAAAAAAAGCUACAAACACUUGUUUUUUAAUCUAUUUUAUUUCCAGGCAAGAACGACAUUCUUCUAUUCUUUCUUCAACAAGAAAACAGGUUAUGUUACAGUCACUAGGCAGUAGGCAAAACACUCGAUAACCAAAUACAUAAAAGGAAAUAAAAAAGAGUUACAAAAUCACAAAAGUUAAAAUUGAAAAUACAAAAAGAUUAAAAAAGAAACUGCUUUUGAAAAAUGAAAAUAUCAAACCCCUUCUUCAGAACAAUUCAAACAGGGGGCUGCGGGUUCUUAAUCUAACAGUAAUUAAAAUUCCACUGAAACCCCAACCCUCUAUUUGAUUUUCCAUUUUUUUCCCCCACAAGAAUUAUUUUCAACAUAGAACUUGAGCUUUGGAAGUGACAAAAAGAAAAGACAUAGAUGAGUGACUGAGUCUGACUGAGAUAGAGUCGUCAAUAUACCACACUGGUCAGCUCUCAGUUGAAUUUGUGAGUUUGGGUUGGAGUCCCAGUCCCACAGCCCACAGGUAGUGAAAGUAGGUAAUUAUCCUAACCAGCUAAUGUAUCAAAACCUGUUUGUAUAAGCCUGCACAUUACAAGUUACUCAUAAGCAAAGGAGGGGGCUGCAACGAGAAACAGCACAUCAUGUCCUAAUUAUAAAACAUGUAAAAAUUAACAUAUUUUACCAGUCACAAAACCCUUUUUCUUUAGAGAUAAACUCCCCAUAGCAACUAUAAAUAUGGGAAAAAAAAAAUGACCACAAGGUAGAACAGUCCCUUCUUUUUCUCCAAACAAAUACAACCAUUUCAGUUCACACCUAAGCUGAGAACCAUUCUAGUUCCAAUUUUCAACCAAUGAAACAACCGUAGUAUUCUCAUAAAAAUAAAAGAAUGAAAUAACCAUAGAAUAAAAUAAUUAUACUCUAAUUCAAAUAUUGCUUCAGAAUUUAUGAUUUAUGAUAGACCCAACUGGUCAAACCUACAGAAUUGGAUUAGGCAUUUAUUUGACCCAAAAGGUGAAUAUCAAGCUUAUGGUUCUUACAACACUGAAAUGAUCAAAUUUCAUUCAUUCUGAACAUGAGAUGCAAAGAAUUAUUUCAAGUUAUUCGAAGAGUAAGCAUUAAAAGAAAUUUGUUCAUCCUACGUGGUAUAAGUAGUAUACUUAAGCUAGUAUUAGUGUAUUAUGCAUCAUCGGUUAAAUCAUUUGGAUUAUUAACAUUGAUUUAUAUUUUUUUUAUUAGCUGAAUUGAUAACUGUCGCAUCCCUAACUUAGAUGCACGUGUGAUAAGAAAAUUUUAUCUACAUCAGAUGCAAGUACAAGCUUUUAACAAUUAAGCCGUGACUGUUGGCUUACAAGAACGAACAUAUACUAAUAGAAUGAAUAAGACCCAGCACUUACAGAAAAAUUUGACAUUAUCUGCCCUAAAAUGUAAGAAUCCCAAAUUUAACACAAUCCUAAACUUGCUGCAAGUUACAGCAGCAGCAAGGAAACAAUUAAGAAAACUAGGUGGAAAAAAAAAUUAAUAAAAGUAAGAAGAUUCCAAAAUUGAACCACUCAUGCACAGAAACUUACCCAAACCAAUUCUAAAGAGUAAGAGUUAUGAGAAAAUCCAGCGAAAUCCACGUUGAUUUCCCAUAAAUUUCAUACUUGCUGUUGUUCUCAGCUCCCUUAAGUGCACAAUUAUUCUCUGUAAAAAUCAAUUGCUUUCUUUCCCUCCAUUUCUUUUUCUUCCUCUUCUCUCUUCUUUUGUUUUUUUCCUCGUUCUGUCUCUGUUGUAUUUUUUACCGCUUAUUAUUAUUAUUAUUAUCGUCAUCACCCGAACGUUGGUUUUGUUUGUUAUAGAACUUCACAAAAGAAUAGAGAGACCUUAUAAGUUGGUUGUGGGCUGGGCUUAGCUACAGAUUUUCUUCUCAAAAACACACACACGCGCGCGAGAGGAAGGUGGUGUUUAUUUUUUUAUCUGAAAUCUGAAUAGAUCUGAAUUAGUCUGAAUUCUGAAUAAAUUAUCUGAAUCUGAAUAAUAUAUUUAUUUUUUCGUCUGAAUCUCAAAAAAUAAGUAUUAAGUUGUUUGUUUUUUUCAACUUAAAAAGCUAAAAAUAUAUACUUUUACAUUUGUAUCCUUAUUAAAUUUGAAUGUCAAAUAAAUAAUAUAUUAAAUACCACAAUAUUUUAA